AUUGAACGCUGGCGGCAUGCCUUACACAUGCAAGUCGAACGGUAACGCGGGGCAACCUGGCGACGAGUGGCGAACGGGUGAGUAAUGCAUCGGAACGUACCCAGUUGUGGGGGAUAGCUCGGCGAAAGCCGGAUUAAUACCGCAUACGACCUACGGGUGAAAGCGGGGGAUCGCAAGACCUCGCGCAGUUGGAGCGGCCGAUGUCAGAUUAGGUUGUUGGUGGGGUAAAGGCUCACCAAGCCGACGAUCUGUAGCUGGUCUGAGAGGACGACCAGCCACACUGGGACUGAGACACGGCCAGGACUCCGACGGGAGGCAGCAGUGGGGAAUUUUGGACAAUGGGGGCAACCCUGAUCCAGCCAUGCCGCGUGCGGGAAGAAGGCCUUCGGGUUGUAAACCGCUUUUGUCGGGGAAGAAGUCUUCCGGGCUAAUACCCCGGGAGGAUGACGGUACCCGAAGAAUAAGCACCGGCUAACUACGUGCCAGCCGCCGCCGUAA
This 498-nucleotide ribosomal RNA is filed under the name uncultured bacterium. RNAcentral's name for it is "partial 16S ribosomal RNA". It matches the Rfam family "Bacterial small subunit ribosomal RNA", at positions 29 to 523 of the family's 1533-position model. The record is from RNAcentral.